ACGUAGGAGGCAAGCGUUAUCCGGAGUUACUGGGCGUAAAGCGUGCGUAGGCGGAUCUGUAAGUGGGUGGUGAAAGCGCCCGGCUAAACCGGGCGAGGUCCAUUCAGACUGCAGGUCUAGAGGCGGAUAGAGGGGUGCGGAAUUCCGGGUGUAGCGGUGAAAUGUGUAGAGAUCCGGAGGAACACCAGUGGUGCAAACGGCGCCCUGGGUCCGAACUGACGCUGAAGCACGAAAGCGUGGGGAGCGAACGGGA
RNAcentral lists this ribosomal RNA (253 nucleotides) under uncultured prokaryote. RNAcentral describes it as "partial 16S ribosomal RNA". It matches the Rfam family "Bacterial small subunit ribosomal RNA", at positions 525 to 777 of the family's 1533-position model. The record is from RNAcentral.